RNAcentral lists this ribosomal RNA (1383 nucleotides) under Vibrio parahaemolyticus. Its description in RNAcentral is "bacterial SSU rRNA". It matches the Rfam family "Bacterial small subunit ribosomal RNA". The record is from RNAcentral. Lineage: Bacteria; Pseudomonadati; Pseudomonadota; Gammaproteobacteria; Vibrionales; Vibrionaceae.
GGGGAACGAUAACGGCGUCGAGCGGCGGACGGGUGAGUAAUGCCUAGGAAAUUGCCCUGAUGUGGGGGAUAACCAUUGGAAACGAUGGCUAAUACCGCAUGAUGCCUACGGGCCAAAGAGGGGGACCUUCGGGCCUCUCGCGUCAGGAUAUGCCUAGGUGGGAUUAGCUAGUUGGUGAGGUAAGGGCUCACCAAGGCGACGAUCCCUAGCUGGUCUGAGAGGAUGAUCAGCCACACUGGAACUGAGACACGGUCCAGACUCCUACGGGAGGCAGCAGUGGGGAAUAUUGCACAAUGGGCGCAAGCCUGAUGCAGCCAUGCCGCGUGUGUGAAGAAGGCCUUCGGGUUGUAAAGCACUUUCAGUCGUGAGGAAGGUAGUGUAGUUAAUAGCUGCAUUAUUUGACGUUAGCGACAGAAGAAGCACCGGCUAACUCCGUGCCAGCAGCCGCGGUAAUACGGAGGGUGCGAGCGUUAAUCGGAAUUACUGGGCGUAAAGCGCAUGCAGGUGGUUUGUUAAGUCAGAUGAAAUGCGUAGAGAUCUGAAGGAAUACCGGUGGCGAAGGCGGCCCCCUGGACAGAUACUGACACUCAGAUGCGAAAGCGUGGGGAGCAAACAGGAUUAGAUACCCUGGUAGUCCACGCCGUAAACGAUGUCUACUUGGAGGUUGUGGCCUUGAGCCGUGGCUUUCGGAGCUAACGCGUUAAGUAGACCGCCUGGGGAGUACGGUCGCAAGAUUAAAACUCAAAUGAAUUGACGGGGGCCCGCACAAGCGGUGGAGCAUGUGGUUUAAUUCGAUGCAACGCGAAGAACCUUACCUACUCUUGACAUCCAGAGAACUUUCCAGAGAUGGAUUGGUGCCUUCGGGAACUCUGAGACAGGUGCUGCAUGGCUGUCGUCAGCUCGUGUUGUGAAAUGUUGGGUUAAGUCCCGCAACGAGCGCAACCCUUAUCCUUGUUUGCCAGCGAGUAAUGUCGGGAACUCCAGGGAGACUGCCGGUGAUAAACCGGAGGAAGGUGGGGACGACGUCAAGUCAUCAUGGCCCUUACGAGUAGGGCUACACACGUGCUACAAUGGCGCAUACAGAGGGCGGCCAACUUGCGAAAGUGAGCGAAUCCCAAAAAGUGCGUCGUAGUCCGGAUUGGAGUCUGCAACUCGACUCCAUGAAGUCGGAAUCGCUAGUAAUCGUGGAUCAGAAUGCCACGGUGAAUACGUUCCCGGGCCUUGUACACACCGCCCGUCACACCAUGGGAGUGGGCUGCAAAAGAAGUAGGUAGUUUAACCUUCGGGGGGACGCUUACCACUUUGUGGUUCAUGACUGGGGUGAAGUCGUAACAAGGUAGCGCUAGGGGAACCUGGCGCUGGAUCACCUCCUUAAACGAUGAU